CGUGAGAUGUUGGGUUAAGUCCCGCAACGAGCGCAACCCCUAUUGUUAGUUGCUACGCAAGAGCACUCUAGCGAGACUGCCGUUGACAAAACGGAGGAAGGUGGGGACGACGUCAAAUCAUCAUGCCCCUUAUGUCCUGGGCUACACACGUAAUACAAUGGCGGUCAACAGAGGGAUGCAAAAUCGCAAGAUGGAGCGAACCCCUAAAAGCCGUCCCAGUUCAGAUUGUGGGCUGCAACCCGCCCACAUGAAGUCGGAAA
RNAcentral lists this ribosomal RNA (260 nucleotides) under uncultured bacterium. RNAcentral describes it as "partial 16S ribosomal RNA". It matches the Rfam family "Bacterial small subunit ribosomal RNA", at positions 1066 to 1331 of the family's 1533-position model. The record is from RNAcentral.